This is a long non-coding RNA of Myzus persicae (green peach aphid), 1203 nucleotides long. RefSeq lists it as uncharacterized. The record is from RefSeq and is a predicted model, not a curated record. The transcript has 2 exons. NCBI's taxonomy places the organism in Eukaryota, Metazoa, Arthropoda, Insecta, Hemiptera, Aphididae.
GGAAUAAAUUUAAUUCAAAUUAUUCAAUAUAUACAUAUUUCUUAGUUAAAUAUACAUUGGGUCUAUCGUAGGUACUAAAUAUUAACAGUUACUUAGUGGUCUACCACAGACAUCAUUAAUAUUUAUCUAAAAUAUUAAUGAACAAACAGUAAAAAUGUUUAUGAACAUUAAAAAAAUGGUAAAUUGCAUUUGAUCAAAAAAAUAGUUUUGAAUACUUAUUUCGAUUCGGAAAUAGGUUCUAUCUCACUAUGUAACAUUUAUACUUAUUGAAUAAUAUGAUAUUUAAUUAUUCAGGGAGAACUCGAUUUUUCUAUCUUACACAACGAUCAAACUGAGAGGAUGUCAGUGCAAUAUUUGUUUCCUCUCUCAGACUCACAUAGAUAAAACGUUUUUGAAUAAAAUCAUUUUUUUAUCAUUUUUGAGUAACCUUACAGUAACCUUUUAGUAAAACACCUAUUAUAAAAAUAAUAAUUUUUUGAGGGCGUAACUAAUUAUUAUUGAAUUUCAAAAUAAAACAAAAAAAGUUGUAAAUUUAAAUGACGUUGAAAUUGUUGAGAUACAAUAUUCAGACAAAUCGUUACGUCAUUCCCUCAAAAAUAUUAUUUUCUAUCGAUGUUGUGAUAGAUGAUUUUACUCUAAUAUUAUUCAAAAGCAUAAAAAAAUUAUUCUACGUAAAUGUAUAUAGUCUAUGAAAAGCGAGUUACAGAGAGAGAAAACAAACAAGGCGUUGACAUCCUCUUAACGUAGAUAUUGCUUUUGCUCUCUUUUUGUGGUUAAUUUUUUCUUUAUAGAAAACUAUAGAAUUGUUUGAUCAUAUUAACAAUGAACAAUAUUGAAUUUAUAAUAAAGAUAAAAUCAAUACCUUGGUACCAAUCUAUUUUUAAAUGAUAUUGAACUUUUAAUACGUUUUUUAAUUAAUUUAUGUAUUAAUUUAAAUACUUAUAAUGGAUUUUUUUCUGCACUGUUAAUCGCAAUUCAACAAUUGGCCUUAGUCUCAUUAUAAUGAAAUGAAUCAAAAAAAUGUAUGUACUUAGGUAUAUACAAUUGUUAAAUUAUACUUACUGGGCUUGAUUGAUGGCCAUUCUUCACGUUCAAACCGAACAUCUUCAAAUUCGAUUUUCAAAUAAGACAAGAGAAACCUGAUAGGCUCUGCCAGGGCAGGAAAAUUGAAGUAAGUGAGUUUGUAUGCUGCCAUUUCUUCUG